ACUUGAACAUGGCGACUUCCGCCCUGAACGAACCUAGGAAAGCGGCUGGAAAAAGGGUAUUUUGUACACAGAAGCCAAAUCUGGAGAACCAAGAUGAAUCAGAACUCCUCACUGUUCCUGAUGGAUGGAAGGAACCAGCUUUUUCCAAAGAGGACAAUCCCAGAGGACUCUUGGAGGAGAGCAGUUUUGCAACUUUGUUCCCAAAGUAAGCAGAAAGCCUUGAAUGAACAUCACAUUAAUGCAACCCUGGACUUGAUUGAGGGCAACAUGACUGUUUGUACUACAGAGAAGACCUUUGAUCCAUAUAUCAUCAUUAGGGCCCGAGAUCUAAUAAAACUGUUAGCAAGGAGUGUUUCAUUUGAACAGGCAGUACGAAUUCUUCAGGAUGAUAUUGCAUGUGACAUUAUUAAAAUAGGUUCUUUAGUAAGAAAUAAAGAAAGAUUUGUUGAAAGAAGACAACGGCUUAUUGGUCCCAAAGGAUCUACCUUGAAGGCUUUGGAACUCUUAACAAACUGUUAUAUUAUGGUUCAGGGAAAUACAGUUUCAGCCAUUGGACCCUUUAGUGGUUUAAAAGAGGUGCGAAAAGUAGUCCUAGAUACUAUGAAGAAUAUUCAUGCAAUUUAUAACAUCAAAACCUUAAUGAUUAAAAGAGAAUUGGCAAAAGAUUCUGAAUUACGAUCACAAAGUUGGGAAAGAUUUUUGCCACAGUUCAAACACAAAAAUGUGAAUAAAUGCAGGAACCAAAGAAGAAAUGUGUUAAGAAAGAAUAUAUACCAUUCCCACCGCCCCAGCCAGAAAGUCAGAUUGAUAAAGAAUUGGCUAGUGGUGAAUACUUCUUGAAGGCGCAUCAGAAGAAGCGACAGAAAAUGGAAGCAAUAAAGGCUAAACAAGCAGAAGCUCUCAGUAAGAGACAAGAGGAAAGAAACAAAGCUUUUAUUCCACCUAGAGAAAAACCAGUUGUGAAACCGAAGGAAGCUUCUACUGAAACUAAAAUUGAUGUGGCCACCAUUAAGGAAGAGGUUAAGAAAGCAAAGAACAAGAAACUGGGAGCCCUUACAGCUGAAGAAGUUAAGCUUAAGAUGGAAGCAGAUGAGAAGAAGAAGAAAAAGUAACACACAGAACCCUUCACUACAACUUAAGACGCUACCUCCUUUUGUAAAGGAUUUUGAGAUACUAGGGCAUUAGUUGCCUAUCUGGGAGAAAGAAGAAUCUGAACACUUUUUUUCU
Nycticebus coucang (slow loris) is the source of this 1227-nucleotide RNA transcript. It is a transcript of the gene named KRR1 small subunit processome component homolog, with no coding region annotated. The record is from RefSeq and is a predicted model, not a curated record. NCBI's taxonomy places the organism in Eukaryota, Metazoa, Chordata, Mammalia, Primates, Lorisidae. The transcript has a single exon.